Molecule: long non-coding RNA, 1672 nt
Organism: Xiphophorus hellerii (green swordtail)
Lineage: Eukaryota; Metazoa; Chordata; Actinopteri; Cyprinodontiformes; Poeciliidae
Exons: 3
Source: RefSeq, a predicted model, not a curated record
GAGAUUUAUGUCUCAAAGUGAGAAAAAUUAUUUGUGAACAAACUUAUUUGCUCAUGUCAUAAAUCUUUUCUUGCUAUUGUAAGUUUUUGUUUGUGAUUCAAAGUUUUGCUUGCUUCUCACAUGACGUCGUGGGCAGGGCCGAAAAUUGCAACAAAAGAAUUCUGAUGUGUGCAAAUAAAAGUUUGUUUUGCAAAGAACUUUUUAAGUUAACAAGACAAAAUUUAGUUAUUUAAUUAAAAAAAUUAAAAUAAAACUUUUUGUUUAAAAAAAAUAAAUCAUUAUAAUUCAAGCAGUUUUGUAAAUUCUAUUCCCCUUCAAGAUACAUUAACCUAAUGCCAGAAUAAAUGCAAUUAAUAUACAUUAUGCAGCAAAGGAAAUUAGAUAAUCGGACAUAUAUUCAUUAUAGAGAGAUGAUCGGUUUUGGAUCGUUGAUGUGGCCCCAUCAGCAAUAAUGAAGAAUGACCGCUAUCAUUAGCGAUACAGGGAAGAAGCUUUUUAGUUAUCUUGCUUUGCUACCAAACUCGUUAGCUAACAGCUAGCUAAUAGGACAACAACAACAGCCUAAUGUCUGUAUGAUAAAAUACUGAAUCGAUAGAUAAGAACAGUUUUUCCUUACUUUUCCUUCCUUCCUCCUCCACGUUGAGCUCCGCAGUAAGCUACUGCGCAGUCUCACUGACUGAGCGGGAGGCAGCUGCGUCAUGCGUCACGGACAAAAGGUCAAAGGUAACAAGGUGACCCGAAGGGCUUAUUAUGUUGUUUUUCUUUAAAUAAAAACAACAACAACAAAAAAUAAUAAUUUUAGUACAUAUCAGAGGAGGGCUUGGGAAAUUAACUUAAAAAAAAAAAAAAAAAAAAAAAAAUUGGACCAAAAGGGCACUUUAGGGCAAGGAGCAAAAAGGGCAGGUGCUCAAGCACCCCCAGCCCCCCCCUCUGCACGUGCCUGGCUGUGACUGUGACAGAGGUUCAAACAGGACUCCUUGCUGACCUGCAAGUGGACCAGUUCGUGUACUGCACUUCACCAUCUUCACCUGGCCAGCUGGGAUGAUGAAGUUCUGUCGCUUGUCGAGCAAAAACCUGGGUUCAGAAUUUUCCAAAGAACUUUACAAAUACACCCCUCGCUUCUUUGAGAUUUUCAAGAGCAAGGGGGGAAGUGUUGCCCAGAAACUUCAGACGUAUCUGCAACAAGUCAGAACCCGAGAGUUCAGAUAUUACUGCGAAGCGAAUGGCAGUGCUCCGUGGCCUUCCUGUAAUCCUUGGAGAUGAGAACACAGACUUCUUCAAGACAUGCUUUGACUGCGAAGAGCCAGACGUCUCUCACCCCCAUUGGGAUCCUGACCAUCAUUCCUGAGGACAGGCAGGCCUCCCCUGACUCACUGCACCUUGAGUCUUCAGGUACUGCCAUCAUUUUGGAAGGAAGUCUUGUCAUGAAUGACCUUGGAAAUCUUCCACAUGCCAUGUGCUUGCUCUUUGGACUUAUUUAUGCUCUGAAUUUGGAGUACCCUCAACAACUGAAGUACACCUUUGACUUCAUCCAAAGGGUGCUUCUCUCACUUGGACAUAAAUCCCUAAAACCAAAAAUACAAUCACUCAAAAAUCUUCUGAUGCAAUGAGUGAAUGUGAUGUGACAUUAUGGAUCAACGUUGAUACCUUUCCCCUUAUUGGAAAAGUGAUU